This 441-nucleotide ribosomal RNA is filed under the name uncultured bacterium. RNAcentral describes it as "partial 16S ribosomal RNA". It matches the Rfam family "Bacterial small subunit ribosomal RNA", at positions 338 to 795 of the family's 1533-position model. The record is from RNAcentral.
CCUACGGGUGGCAGCAGUGGGGAAUAUUGCACAAUGGGGGAAACCCUGAUGCAGCGACGCCGCGUGAGUGAAGAAGUAUUUCGGUAUGUAAAGCUCUAUCAGCAGGGAAGAAGAAAGACGGUACCUGACUAAGAAGCCCCGGCUAACUACGUGCCAGCAGCCGCGGUAAUACGGAGGGGGCAAGCGUUAUCCGGAUUUACUGGGUGUAAAGGGAGCGUAGACGGUGCAGCAAGUCUGAUGUGAAAGCUCGGUGCCCAACCCCAGGACUGCAUUUGAAACUGUUGAACUGGAGUACGGGAGAGGUAAGCGGAAUUCCUAGUGUAGCGGUAAAAUGCGUAGAUAUUAAGAGGAACACCAGUGGCGAAGGCGACUUACUGGACUGUAACUGACGUUGAGGCUCGAAAGCGUGGGGAGCAAACAGGAUUAGAUACCCGUGUAGUC